CAACCCAGGAUUAGCAUAUAAUAAGUGCUUGAAUGGUGGAUAGGUUAGACAUGAGAAACAUUCCAGUCUGUAGUCAACAUUGAGGCUAUAUUUCUAGCAAAUCAUAUCCCAGAGACUUACUAGUCAGCAGCCAUAGGCUAAGCACCAGGUUUGGUGAGAUCCCUGUCUCCAGAACUGAAGGAGAGAGCCACAGAGGGAGGUAAUAUACAGCUGCCAUCUAUUCUUGAACAUUGGAGUACACUCACAUUGAUAAGGUUAGUUGAAGGAAGAAAAUUGGUGCUUCAAAGAUUCUUUCAUUAUUUUACAGCUAGCAACUUUUAAUGUGUUGUAGUCAUAUUCAAAAAUCAAAAUUUUCUUAUUCAAUCAAGCAAAGAAUAUUUGAAGUUUUGUUCUGUUGGGAUUUAAUAUGUCAUUUAUCAUAAGCAGUUGAAAAUAAUUAAUAAAUUUUAGAAUCAAUGUUUUAAAACCUAA
Molecule: long non-coding RNA, 471 nt
Filed under: Mus musculus (house mouse)
Lineage: Eukaryota; Metazoa; Chordata; Mammalia; Rodentia; Muridae
Description: predicted gene 44982
Source: RNAcentral